AACCAGCACCUCAAGUGGUCAGGAUGAUUAUUGGGCCUAAAGCAUCCGUAGCCGGCUCUGUAAGUUUUCGGUUAAAUCUAUACGCUCAACGUAUGGGCUGCCGAAAAUACUGUAGAGAUAGGGAGUGGGAGAGGUAGACGGUACUCGGUAGGAAGGGGUAAAAUCCUUUGAUCUAUCGAUGACCACCUGUGGCGAAGGCGGCCGGCUGGGGCCACUCUGACGCUGAGUCGCGAAAGCGUGGGGAGCGAACAGG
RNAcentral lists this ribosomal RNA (253 nucleotides) under uncultured archaeon. RNAcentral describes it as "partial 16S ribosomal RNA". It matches the Rfam family "Archaeal small subunit ribosomal RNA", at positions 474 to 727 of the family's 1478-position model. The record is from RNAcentral.